GAUGAAACGUAGCGAAAUGCGAUAAGUAAUGUGAAUUGCAGAAUUCAGUGAAUCAUCGAAUCUUUGAACGCACAUUGCGCCCCUUGGUAUUCCGAGGGGCAUGCCUGUUCGAGCGUCAUUAUAACCCCUCAAGCUCAGCUUGGUGUUGGGGCCUGCUGCACUGGCAGCCCUUAAAAUCAGUGGCGGCGCCAUCUGGCUCUAAGCGUAGUAAUUCUUCUCGCUAUGGAGUCCUGGUGGAUGCUUGCCAUCAACCCCCAAUUUUUCUAUGGUUGACCUCGGAUCAGGUAGGGAUACCCGCUGAACUUAAGCAUAUCAAUAAGCGGAGGA
This 327-nucleotide unclassified non-coding RNA is filed under the name soil metagenome. RNAcentral's name for it is "partial contains 5.8S ribosomal RNA, internal transcribed spacer 2, and large subunit ribosomal RNA". The stretch from base 1 to 118 matches the Rfam family "5.8S ribosomal RNA", at positions 35 to 154 of the family's 154-position model. The record is from RNAcentral.